AACGAACGCUGGCGGCAUGCCUAACACAUGCAAGUCGAACGAGACCUUCGGGUCUUUUGGCCCACGGGUUUGUCACGCGUGGGAACCUUCACUUAGGGUUGGAAUAACUCCCCGAAAGGGGUGCUUAUACCGGAUAGUGUCUUCGGACCAAAGAUUUAUUGCCUUUGGAGGGUCCCGAGUUGGAUUAGCUGGUUGGUAGGGUAAAAGCCUACCAAGGCGACGAUCCAUAGAUUGUAUGAGAGGAUGAUCAGCCACACUGGGACUGGGAAACGGCCGAGAAUCCUACGGAAGGGAGGAGUGGGGGAUAUUGGAAAAUCGGCGGAAGGAUGAAGCAGCUAGGACCGGAGAGCGAUGAAAGUAGUAAGGAUGAAAAGCUUUUUUACCCGGGAUGAUAAUGACGGUACCGGAAGAAUAAGCUCCGGCUAACUACGUG
Molecule: ribosomal RNA, 433 nt
Filed under: uncultured bacterium
Lineage: Bacteria
Description: partial 16S ribosomal RNA
Rfam family: Bacterial small subunit ribosomal RNA
Source: RNAcentral